GAAAAAUAACUUUAAAACAGCAAAUGGAUACUAAUCAAAGUUCCUCAGUGCUGAGGGACUUGGUGCGGAAAUGAGGAGAAAUAUGACUGACAACAGGGAGGCCUUCAGGAGGAAGGCUUGCUGCCACUUCUGAGUCGUGCCAGAGGAGUGAAGUUUUCAAGGUAGCCCACACAUCCAUUUGGGUUGUUUUGUAUAUUUUUAAAAAUGAAAUAUUUUCAGAAACAUCAGUAAAAAUGCUGUGGAAAAUUGCUGAAUGGGACAGAAUAAAAGACACCAACAUGAGUGGAAGUAGAGGUGGGAAAAAGGACCAUGCUGGAAAGAAAAACAGCAAGGAAUCCCACCCCCUUCUUUCUCUUGGCACUGUUGCCACAAAUAUGAAGAAAAUUGCUUUGAAAAAUUGGGAGUCUCUCCCUCUGAACUGGAGCUUAAUUAAGCCUUGUCAGAGCCAGAAGUCUGAGGGCGCUCUGAGCCUGAAGACGACCCCAGAUUUCUGCUGUAGCCUUUCCAUCCCUGAGCAUGCUCCGCCUCAGAAAAGUGGUGAUCCCCCAACAGUGCACAAGACUGUGUAUGGACGGAGCCCUGCUCUGUGCUAGGCCCGGCAGUGCAGGUAAUGCAGCCUUCUCGCGCCACCUGCUGGCUGUCUUUUUUAUUGCACAUUAAAUCACGACAAAAUUCAUACACAUAGUACAAAAUGCCUUGAAAGUUUGAUGGGACAGACAACAAAACGUUAAAAUUUAUUUUCUCCAUGUGGUAGGAUUUAGGGGGGCUUUCCGUUUUUAAAUGUUUUUACGUUUGUUAAAUUGUCUAAAAUGAAGUGCAUCGUUGUGUAAUCAGUUUUUAAGAAAGCAAUAAAAUUUGCCUUCCAAUUUGCAAAAAUUAUUAUUCUACAAUUCAUUCUGGCUUCAUUUUUACACUUAAGUCUUUGAGCUUCUUGGAAUUUAUUUCGUUUAAGGAAUGCGUUAUGGAUCAGAUUUUUUUCCCCAAGAUGGCUAACUGGUUGUCCCAACCUCUAGCAAUGAUAGGCAUCUUAUCAAAUAAAUUAUGCUACAGUCACCCACUGGAAUAUUAUGCACACACAUAAAAGAAUGAAGAAGCUUUAUGUCAUGUGCUAAUAACAGAUGCUCAUAACACAUUAUUAGAUUAAAAAAAGCAAAGUAAGGAACAGUUUGUAUAAUAUGAUCUCAACUAGUUUAAAAAAAAGAAUAUAUGCAUAAUGUGUGUUUGUACUUAUCUGCAUUCUUGUAGAUUCUUAAAAACUUUCUGGACAUAAACAAAAGAGGCUUACCAAUGGUUUAAUUGUUCCAGAAAGAAAUGAGAAGAAGGAAGGCAGGAAAGGAAGCAAGCAGGAUUUUACUUUUCCUUUAUCCCUUUGUUAGUGGUUUAAUUUUUUUCUUUAUAUUCCUGUAUUAAUUUUGUUAUGUUUUAUAACAUAUAAAUGAAAAUAAAUGGGACAUUGACUUGUA
Long non-coding RNA from Camelus dromedarius (Arabian camel), 1463 nucleotides. RefSeq lists it as uncharacterized. The transcript is spliced from 2 exons. Lineage: Eukaryota; Metazoa; Chordata; Mammalia; Artiodactyla; Camelidae. The record is from RefSeq and is a predicted model, not a curated record.